RNAcentral lists this ribosomal RNA (472 nucleotides) under uncultured bacterium. RNAcentral describes it as "bacterial SSU rRNA". It matches the Rfam family "Bacterial small subunit ribosomal RNA", at positions 8 to 526 of the family's 1533-position model. The record is from RNAcentral.
AGGGUUCGAUUAUGGCUCAGAACGUACGCUGGCGGCACGCCUAACACAUGCAAGUCGAACGCAGUAGCAAUACUGAGUGGCGAACGGGUGAGUAUAAUGUGGGUAUCUGCCUUUUGGUUUGGAAUAACACGGGGAAACUUGUGCUAAUACCGGAUAAGCCUUUACAGGGAAAGUUUUAACGCCGAAAGAUGAGCCCAUACUUGAUUAGCUAGUUGGUAAGGUAAUGGCUUACCAAGGCUACGAUCAAUAGCUGAUCUGAGAGGAUGAUCAGCCACAUUGGGACUGAGACACGGCCCAAACUCCUACGGGGGGCAGCAGUGGGGAAUCUUGCACAAUGGGGGAAACCCUGAUGCAGCGAUGCCGCGUGAGUGAAGAAGGCCUUUGGGUUGUAAAGCUCUUUCGUCGGGGAAGAAAAUGACUGUACCCGAAUAAGAAGGUCCGGCUAACUUCGUGCCAGCCGCCGCGGUAAUUC